GGUGGAGUGGCCGAGUGGUGAGGCAACGGCCUGCAAAGCCGUGCACACGGGUUCGAUUCCCGUCUCCACCUCGCGCGAUUAGCUCAGCGGGAGAGCGCUUCCCUGACACGGAAGAGGUCACUGGUUCAAUCCCAGUAUCGCGCACCA
RNAcentral lists this transfer RNA (147 nucleotides) under Rhodococcus erythropolis SK121. RNAcentral's name for it is "tRNA-Val". The stretch from base 73 to 144 matches the Rfam family "tRNA". The record is from RNAcentral. Lineage: Bacteria; Bacillati; Actinomycetota; Actinomycetes; Mycobacteriales; Nocardiaceae.